RNAcentral lists this long non-coding RNA (1176 nucleotides) under Androctonus crassicauda. Lineage: Eukaryota; Metazoa; Arthropoda; Arachnida; Scorpiones; Buthidae. The record is from RNAcentral.
UAUGAAAUGAUGAUAAUUUAAAAUCAAUUUCCAAACUCAAGAAAUAAAAAUAAAAUCAUUUUAUAGAAAUGUUUUAAAUUUUAUAAAGAUCCUCACUAGCUGCAUCUUUUAAUUACAAUAUACAGAGGUCUUUCAGAAAUAUAAACCCAAUUUAAAAACAACCAUGAAUGAACAUAUCGCAUUGGAUGGCACUGAUGGAAAUAGAAACUAUUCAACUUUUUGCAUGUAUGUAACAGUUUCAGACUUUGACUCAAAGGAGGCCUAGUGCAAACAAAAAAAUAAUGACUCCCAAGGAGAAGGCAUUCUGUGUUUUGGAGCUUGCACAAACACAAUCAGUGAUUCUUCUCAGUGAUGGUUUGAGGACAGUUCUCCAAGGAUGCACUCAAGAGGAAGAGCAUCAGGAAGUUACAAGCACUUCCAGACAGAUGGAUGCUGGUGUAAGAAAAAAUAGCUGGGCCAAUCUGGCAUUUUGUCGUGCACAUCCAUCCAGCAGAUGGUGAAUUGAGUCUGGGAGGUGUUUAUACAAAUACUUAUGGUAAGUCCAUUUCUUAAACCAAUCAGGAGUUUGGAUAUAUCAUAAACCAGUGUGUGGCAUAUUCUCCAUAAACACCUCAAGAUUCCUCAAACAAACUGCAGCUAUUUCAAGUGAUAAGAUGAUAAGAUUGUUUGGUCAAGAUUCUUCAUGGAAAUGCAGGAAUGAUUUGAAGAGGAAGAUUUCAUCUAAAAAUUAAUUUUUGGUGAUAAGAGCUCUGACAAUGAGUCACUGCCACCAAUGAAAGUGUCAAUUGUGAUGCUCUUUGCUGCAUCUAGAUGGAAUUGGAAUGUCUGCUUGAAUAUUUGCUGCAUCAAUAAUGGAAGACACAUUGAAUAUUUGUGAACUAUAUAAAACAAACUUGAGUUAUUUUUUCAAGUGAUAUAUCAUAUGUAUAUAUCUUUUCAAUUGAUAUCUUGUUUUGACUAAUUUAAAUCCAAUCCAUAUUUCUGAAAAUCCUUGUAUAUCUAUAUCAUAAAUAAUCAACAUAUAUUUAUAUUGUAGAACAAGAAUAAUCAUAUCAAAAUUUUUCUAGAACCAUUGAUUGUAUGAAACCUAGAUAAUGCUACUUAAACUUCUGUCACUGCAAGAAUAACUACUAUCAAUGGCCCCAGUAUUAUUGUGUUACAUUAUCUUAUUCACCG